CGCGGUAAUUCCAGCUCCAAUAGCGUAUAUUAAAGUUGUUGCAGUUAAAAAGCUCGUAGUUGGAUUUCGGAAGGUCCUUAGCAAUCCGCCCCUUCGGGGAGCGGGUUGCUGGCCUCCUAUGUUCCUAACGGUCCUCAUCCGCGAGGGUGGGGAAUCAACCGCUAGGAUCGUUUACUUUGAGGAAAUUAGAGUGUUCAAAGCAGGCGUAACUCGCCUCCGAAUACGUUAGCAUGGGAUAAUGGAAUACGACUUCGGUCUUGUUUCGUUGGUUUCGCUUGGCUGAAGUAAUGAUUGAUAGGGACAGUUGGGGGCAUUAGUAUUUAGUUGUCAGAGGUGAAAUUCUAGGAUUUACUAAAGACUGACCAAUGCGAAAGCAUUUGCCAAGGAUGUUUUCAUUAAUCAAGAACGAAAGUAGGGGGAUCGAAGACGAUCAGAUACCGUCGUAGUCUCUACCGUAAACUAUGCCGACCAGGGAUCCGGAGAGUUUGCAUGGAUGACUCCCCGGGCACCUUGUGAGAAAUCAUAAGUGUUUGGGUUUUGGGGGGAGUAUGGUCGCAAGGCUGAAACUUAAAGGAAUUGACGGAAGGGCACCACCAGGAGUGGAACCUGCGGCUUAAUUUGACUCAACACGGGGAAACUUACGAGGUCAGGACACUGUGAGGAUUGACA
This 669-nucleotide ribosomal RNA is filed under the name Hartmannella sp. cmf11-5. Its description in RNAcentral is "SSU rRNA". It matches the Rfam family "Eukaryotic small subunit ribosomal RNA", at positions 575 to 1245 of the family's 1831-position model. The record is from RNAcentral. Lineage: Eukaryota; Tubulinea; Elardia; Euamoebida; Hartmannellidae.